GUGGGGAAUCUUAGACAAUGGGGGAAACCCUGAUCUAGCCAUGCCGCGUGAGCGAUGAAGGCCUUAGGGUUGUAAAGCUCUUUCAGCUGGGAAGAUAAUGACGGUACCAGCAGAAGAAGCCCCGGCUAACUCCGUGCCAGCAGCCGCGGUAAUACGGAGGGGGCUAGCGUUGUUCGGAAUUACUGGGCGUAAAGCGCGCGUAGGCGGACCAGAAAGUUGGAGGUGAAAUCCCAGGGCUCAACCUUGGAACUGCCUUCAAAACUCCUGGUCUGGAGUUCGAGAGAGGUGAGUAGAAUUCCGAGUGUAGAGGUGAUAUUCGUAGAUAUUCGGAGGAACACCAGUGGCGAAGGCGGCUCACUGGCUCGAUACUGACGCUGCGGUGCGAAAGCGUGGGGAGCAAACAGGAUUAGAUACCCGUGUAGUCC
Molecule: ribosomal RNA, 425 nt
Filed under: uncultured bacterium
Lineage: Bacteria
Description: partial 16S ribosomal RNA
Rfam family: Bacterial small subunit ribosomal RNA
Source: RNAcentral